RNAcentral lists this ribosomal RNA (447 nucleotides) under Triticum aestivum (bread wheat). RNAcentral describes it as "partial small subunit ribosomal RNA". Lineage: Eukaryota; Viridiplantae; Streptophyta; Magnoliopsida; Poales; Poaceae. The record is from RNAcentral.
AUGAAAAUUAAAGUUUUCGGCUGGCUACUGUUGUCAGAUAGACUCAACACUCGCAAUAUGUUGAAGAGGAGACACUAUAACAUUGGCACAGACUUUGGUUGCCUUCUAUGCACUGCAUGCCAAGAUGAGACUGUGGAACACCUCUUCUUUGAGUGUACCUUCAGCCUUGCAUGCUGGAAUGAACUUCAAAUCAUGGAACAAGCAACUGACAAUCGGCUAGACUGGGUGGACAAGGCCAAAGCCUCCUGGAGCCAACCUUUGUUCAUGGAAAAUUUUCUCUUGGCAUCCUGGAGCAUCUGGAAGGAAAGAAAUAAUAAGCACUUCAGAGGAGUUCUUCCAUCACAAGAUUCUUGGCGUGCAAGACUCAAAGAAGACCUCUCCCUUCUCACUUAUAGAUUGGGAGACAAACAUAAAGACUUCCUUUUUUCCUUUAUCAGUUCACUGUAG